RNAcentral lists this ribosomal RNA (616 nucleotides) under uncultured fungus. Its description in RNAcentral is "eukaryotic LSU rRNA". It matches the Rfam family "Eukaryotic large subunit ribosomal RNA", at positions 40 to 647 of the family's 3401-position model. Lineage: Eukaryota; Fungi. The record is from RNAcentral.
AUAUCAAUAAGCGGAGGAAAAGAAACCAACAGGGAUUGCCCUAGUAACGGCGAGUGAAGCGGCAACAGCUCAAAUUUGAAAUCUGGCCUCGGCCCGAGUUGUAAUUUGCAGAGGAAGCUUUGGGCGCGGCACCGACCGAGUCCCCUGGAACGGGGCGCCAUAGAGGGUGAGAGCCCCGUAUGGUCGGACGCCUAGCCUGUGUAAAGCUCCUUCGACGAGUCGAGUAGUUUGGGAAUGCAGCUCAAAAUGGGUGGUAAAUUCCAUCUAAAGCUAAAUAUUGGCGAGAGACCGAUAGCGAACAAGUACCGUGAGGGAAAGAUGAAAAGCACUUUGGAAAGAGAGUGAAACAGUACGUGAAAUUGUUGAAAGGGAAGCGUUUGGAGUCAGUCGCGUCUGGCGGGAUUCAGCCUUGCUUCUGCUCGGUGUAUUUCCUGUCCGAUGGGUCAGUGUCGAUUUUGACUGAGGGAGAAAGGCUUGGGGAAUGUGGCCGUCUUCGGGCGGUGUUAUAGCCCCUUGUUGUAUGUCUCAGUUGGGAUCGAGGAACGCAGCGUGCCUUUUGGCCGGGGAUCGCUCCCUCGGUACACGCUUAGGACACUGGCAAAAUGGCUUUAAGCGA